RNAcentral lists this long non-coding RNA (235 nucleotides) under Musa acuminata (dwarf banana). RNAcentral's name for it is "long non-coding RNA (MACU_LNC006543)". The record is from RNAcentral. Lineage: Eukaryota; Viridiplantae; Streptophyta; Magnoliopsida; Zingiberales; Musaceae.
UCCCCUCGAAGUGAUCAAGGAGGGCCGAUCCCCUCGAAGCGAUCAGGGAGGCCGAUCCCCUCGAAGUGAUAAUUAAAAUCCCCAUUUCUCCUCUUUCGUCUUAUCAUUUGGUAUCAGAGCGACGAUAAAACUUUAGGGUCUUAUCAUUUGGUAUCAGAGCGACGAUCCUCGGCGUUCUCACUAUAGUUUGUCAUUUCAAAAAAAAAAAAAAAACACCAGAAGAAGAAGAAGCCGC